CCCGCACAGUGUGUAUAGGGUCCCGUAUUUCUUUUUUUACUAUUAGUAGACUAGAUUAGUAGUCUGAUUAAAAUACUCAAUUCACGAUAACCGGUUCAAUAUUUACUGAUGGAAUUAAUUUAACAGCAAAAUGUUACAUUCUGUUAUUCAGACCGACUGUUUAUUAAUAAAUCUCUGUUAUUUUCCGAUUUAACUCUUAUACUACUCAUACACUUAACAAGCAUGCAGAUUAUGUAAGCAAUGUGCUGUAUAAUAUUUCGAUUAUGUCAACACCAAUAACAAAAAAUCAAAGAAUUUGAUCAUCUAAUCCAAU
This 313-nucleotide long non-coding RNA is filed under the name Mytilus galloprovincialis (Mediterranean mussel). The record is from RNAcentral. Lineage: Eukaryota; Metazoa; Mollusca; Bivalvia; Mytilida; Mytilidae.